RNAcentral lists this long non-coding RNA (1872 nucleotides) under Phoenix dactylifera (date palm). RNAcentral's name for it is "long non-coding RNA (PDAC_LNC004189)". The record is from RNAcentral. Lineage: Eukaryota; Viridiplantae; Streptophyta; Magnoliopsida; Arecales; Arecaceae.
CCAAAUCCCCAAUCCUUCGAUCUCUUGUGGCUUGUGCUUUUGUCACUUCCAUUCCAACCAUCCGCUGCUCUGCUCACCCUUCAACUUCAAGGCUUCACCCACUCUUUUUGAUGAAGAAGUCUAUAUCCGCCACUAUCCCUCGCUUCCCUCCUCCUCCAAGGUUCCAACCCCUUGCUUAAAUAAGAUCUCCUCUACUUCUUCCUAUUUGAAACCCUAAUGUCUGGCUUUCUACAUGUUUAUCCAUAGAUCCAUGGAACCAUCGCCCCAUACUGUUCCACUAGCCUUCUUCCCACCAUCAUCUCCACCUAUGGCCCCUCCCCACUUGCGAACAUAGCUUCUAUAUAAAGGCCCUUCCCCUCUCUUCAUCUCCUCAUUUUCUCCUCAUCAUAGAGAGGAGUAAUUGUGGGGAUUUCUCGUCUGCUCUUCUAGCACUGCUCUUUCUUUCUUCUUGUUCUUAUUUUUCUUAGCCUUAUCCUUCUCCUCCUCUUCUUUGUCUGAUACGUAUAAUUUGAGAAGAUUAAGCGAUGAUGAUGGGUGACUUGUUGAGGGUUUGUCUUCUCCUCUCCAUUGUCAUACAUGUAUUCUUUCAUAGCAAUUGGCUCGGCAGCUCUAGAAGGUCUAUUGUUUCAGAGACAACUGACCUGUAGCCAUUGCUAGCUAGGUGGGUCAUCGAAGAAGGAGGAGCACAAGAAGAGAAGGGACGAUCUUUCCAUCUCAUCGAAUCAAGAAUACCUUCUGAGCCUUUGAACCCUGGAUCUCCGGCUUGUUUUCUUUCUCACAGUUGGCUAGCGGUCUUCUUCUUCUCUUUGGAAGGUAAUGGCCAUGAAGUUGUGCUUCUUUCUCUCUUUCUUCUUUUCAUUCUUCUCUUUGGAUUUGGUCUUAUAUGGGGAGGCCGUGAUGAUUCUUGGCUAUGAUGAUUCUUGGUAUUUUGUCUUCUGUUGUUCUUGUGAAGGCAAUUAUUUGCAUACAUUGUGAUCUAGUUGCAGAGAUUGGUCCUAUUCCUCUUCCUCCUCUUUGCUAUUCUAAUUCCUUUCUCUAAGUUUUUGUUUUUGUUUUGUUUUGUUCUGUUUUGUUUUGCUGGGCAUUAUCAAAUGGAAGCUAGAUAAGGCCUUCCUCUCCCCCACUUAGGAGCUCCCAUUUAGCUCAUAUUUUGAAAACAGUAUACAGUAAGGCUUCCAUUCAGCCAAUCCCAUUUCACAAAAGCAUAUUGACCCCAUCCCAACCUGAUAAAACUAAUUUUAAUUUUAAUUCAGUUCGGCUUCAAAAAUAACCCCAAACCAACCUGAUGCGAACUGUGCAUACUUCUAUCAGUAGCUACGAGCUAAUGGGAGAGCUUUAGAUUCCUCAUGAUCCAUGUUGAACGAACAAGAAGUAGGCCAACUAGAUUUGGGGCUUGCAACACUCAAGUGUACUGUAGUCAGUCACUCACUCUCUCUCUCUCUCUCUCUCUCUCUNNNNNNNNNNNNNNNNNNNNACUCUCUCUCUCUCUCUCUCUCUCUCUCUCUCUCUCUCUCUGUAUAUCAUGUUUAAACCUUUAUAGUUUUUAUUGCAUAGUAGAUCUAAAAUAAGCUCACAAAAGAAAAUGAUAUGCACUCUAACAACAUGAAAUGGUAUAGAGACAUAAAUGAGCCCAAAGAGAAAAUAAGUAAAUUGAAUGAUGAGAUUCCUUUUCUCCCUCUCCCUUUUCCGUACCUCUCUUCAUUAUUCUAUCUAUUCCUACUCUUCCCUCUCGAGUCCAACCUUCCAUGUCUCUAAGCACCAAAUUCUCCUCCAAAUGCUCUCAACCCAAUAUCCUAGUCCAAUAAUGAAUUAUCUUGAUAGAAGCAUGUUGAACUCCAUAUUUCCUACUAUAUUCUCUCUUAUGCCCUCUCA